GCAGGCAGUCUCUGAGAGGAGCACAGAGGCGCCUCUUGAUUUCUUGGGUGCAGCAGCUAACUGGCUUCAGAAUCUCACUUUAGUCGGCAGGCUACGGAACUGGGGCCGGCGGCGUUCAACCUGGAUCAUGUGGAUCAAGUGCCUGUGUCUCUGUGCAUGAUGUCAGAGUCUCUGAUACUGAUAAAAUCAGCCGAAGGUAGCUGGGGAUGCAAGUGUUCCACGACAGGACAUUCACGCAGCACUGAGUAUAGCUCGUUCCCUGGCACGAGCUGUAGGACAUCUGGGCAGCAAAACAACAACAAACCCCAGCCCUGUUCAGAAAUGCCCCCUCCCCUCCCUCGCAUGGUCACAACGGCUUGGUGCCCGAGAAGUACAGAGACAGGCCAUUCUCAAAGCCCGUGUCCUCGAGGUGACGCGUGCAGAAGCCACCUGUGUGGACAUUUCAUCACUUGGAGUCUCUGAUUCAGGGGUAUCACCAUUUGUCGGAGCCAAAGAGCAAAACCGUGUUUAGUUUGGCCUCGUGACAUUCACGCUUGGAAAAAUCUCAGGGUUGCAAAGCCUUCUUCACAUUCACUCUCAAACACCCGUUGCUGUUCAUGAGGGAUAACCACGUACGCCGAAAAGAAAACAUGCCCUUUAGAAUUGAACUUGGACCUUGGGGAUGAAGGGAUCUCCCCAGCUAAUAGCUGAUGGGCAUUGCACAGUCUUGAAUUUGCUCCCUGCUGACCUGACAUCAUUGAAUUUGGAGAGGCAGAGCCAGGUUCAUCCAGGGGUAGUAGAGAAGAAAACUGUUUUGAAAAAAUAAAAAGAAGAAGAAGAAGAAGAAGAAAGAACAAAAGGUGAUUAUAAUUCAGGCUUUUAAAUUAAGUCACAGAAAUCCCUACCUAAUUAUACCAUGAAAACAAGCUCUUGCUCCAAGUUCCUGGGAAAGACAAGGUUGUGGUGGAUUUAUUCUUGUUUACGGCUUUCCAACAACCACACCAGCUUGAUCCACUCUUUUUUUUUUUCUUAAAGUAAUAUGAUUAGACUCCUCGAAAAAAAAACUAGAUGAAAUAUUUCAAUUUGGAAACCAAUUUUCAUUUCAUUCUUAAGGAUUCGUGGUAAAGGGAAACAAAUGGUAAAAAAAAAAAAAAAAAAAAAAAUUAUCUCGGCCCACAGAAAAUAACAAACCUUGAGUUAUUUUCCCAUCAUUAACCUUCUUGACGCCGAAUGGGAACUAGAGGCCAGCCAGUCACCGACGCAUCAAAGUGCAGAGAAUCAUAGGAAUCGCCGAGAGGAGACAAAAAGCACCCAAAAGACAGUUCUUGCCUUUAAAAACGUGUAAGGCAAGAUGUCAGUGCAAAUCCCGUGGACAAGGUUACAUUUACUUUCUUGCCUUGAACUUCUCUCUCUCCCUUUUGCAAAAGACAGUGGACUAAGGGGUCAGAGGAGGUGGGGGCGUGGGGGGUGGGAGGGGGAGUCGAGAUCCUCAGUAAUCUAUGAAGUGGGGGUGUAGGCGGAUCUCUGAACGAUCGGGGCCCUUACCCAUCUUCGUAAAAGCAUAGGGAUUAAGAGGACAGGCUUUGAAAAUAGAUGAAUCUGAGCCUGGUCACUUGAACCUUUCCAAGUCCCUGUUUCCUUAUCUGUCAAACGGGAGCUACACGGCUGCUCUCCGGUGUGGCCGAAGGAUUUAGCAAGGGCUUGGCAAAGAGCAAGAGCUCAAAUAAACAGUCGUCUUUAUUAUUCUCAACAA
This is a long non-coding RNA of Canis lupus familiaris (dog), 1732 nucleotides long. RefSeq lists it as uncharacterized. NCBI's taxonomy places the organism in Eukaryota, Metazoa, Chordata, Mammalia, Carnivora, Canidae. The transcript has 2 exons. The record is from RefSeq and is a predicted model, not a curated record.